Molecule: RNA transcript, 1721 nt
Organism: Brassica oleracea var. oleracea
Lineage: Eukaryota; Viridiplantae; Streptophyta; Magnoliopsida; Brassicales; Brassicaceae
Exons: 4
Source: RefSeq, a predicted model, not a curated record
AGAAUAAACAAAGUUUCAACUAUACGUGAUCUGAUCAUUUUAUCACAUUGAAUGAGAUCCGGUCAAAUCCUCCAAUCUAUUUGUUUAUACAAAAAAUCACAUAUAUAGUUUUAAGACAAGUCUCAUUAUGAUAUCUAUAAAGCCGACUCUCUUGUCGGAAUACUAAAUCCUCCUAACAACUCCUCCAUAACCAAAAACCUUCAAUCUUCAACCUCUCCAAUCCCCACACACACAAAGAACCAGUCAAUAUGUUGAGUCCCUUUUCUUCACCGAAGAGAUCGAGGAAAGAAAGCAAGAACCCUUAUUCAAAUCGUGGUCUUGACAAGUUCUCUGCACUUCUAUCUGAGCUCGACGAGAAGAGACAGAGCAUUUACGCUAAUAGGCUAGACUCCGAUGGGCCUCCUCUUGUUCGGUUUGUGUUCAAAAGCUCCGGAGAGUGCGUUCCUGUGAUGAUCAAGACAAAGAAGGUAACCAAGAAGAAGGUUGAUGGUCAAGAAGAUGAUCUCAAGAUCAAGACCGAGUCAAAAACAAAGGAGGCAAAGGAAAUAAAGGAGACAGAGUCAGAAACAACGGAGAAGAAACAGAGAUGUGUAUUGAACGAGAAUCUGGAGAAGAUUUCAAGACCGAACCGUUUUUUACCCGUGACAGUGAUGUUGGUUCUAGUCUUCUUGGUGUUUUUUGGACGAACAGUUUCGAUCAUGUGCACUUGUAUCGUUUGGUACUUGGUUCCAAUGAUCAAAGAACAAAGCAGAAAGAAAGGAUCAACAUACAAGACCAAAAAGAAGAAGAAGAAAAUGAACGAGAGGAUGGCGCAUGACCAAAAUGUUCUCAAGGAGAAGCUUCCGCACCUUUCUGCUGCUCCUGGUUUCUGAGAGGGAGUUGCGGCGGAGAAUGAAUGGAGUGAAUUAGAGAGGCGAUGUGGUGGGCAGAGAGAAAGGCAGUUGAGGAAAGAGAGGGAGACGAGAGAUGUGGAGAGAGAGUUCUGAAUGUUGUGGAGAUGGAGAGAGCAGAGGAGCGGUUUGUGAAGGAGAUGGAGGUGACGAGGCGGAAUUCGGAGCUGGCAUCACAGGUUAUGACGGUGGUAGGGGUUUGGAGGAGGGACGGUGGUCGCAGGGGACGGUGGGGAUGUUGAGAGAUUUGAGGGCUUUGACAUGUUGUGGCCUGUGGGUCUAAUGGAGGUGCGAGGAGUGGGAGAGGUGCAUGUAAAGGGAGAGAGGUUGCGGAGAGGGAAGGAUCGUCUGUAUUGAUGCUCGAUGUGCAAGCUUGAUCUUUGUUUGUGGGAUUGCUAAUCACUUGGUAAAAGAGUCACAUUCUCUAUAAAAAAGAUGGACCUGGUAGCAGCAGUAACUAUGAACUUUGAAAAGUAAUUUUAUCAAGCUCAUAAUACUUCAGGACUUAGAAGCAGCAGUAACUCCCGGAGGUGUAUCUUUGUCUUGUGGCUACACUCAUCAGCGAUGUUUUGGAUCUUUUGCUUUUGGAAAAAUGAACCAUUCAGUCUCCAAGCUAUUUUCGAAGAGGUCAUCUCUCUCCUAAAGCUAAUCUCAUCGGUGACGAAACUAUCGACGAAUCUGAUCUUUUCUGCACCGGUUAAUUGAUAUAAUUAAAAUAUCUGUACCGGUUAGUGGACAUAAUUAAAGUUCUAAAUCUAAAAGCAUGUGAUGUGAAAAAGAUAUAAAAUAUGUGAUUUUUUUCAUAUAAAGUUACAACAUUUAAUAUUAAUU